GCCGGGCACAGUGACGCAUGCCUGAAAUCCCAGCGGCUCGGGAGGCUGAGGCAGGAGGAUCAAGAGUUCAAAGCCAGCCUCAG
This 83-nucleotide small RNA is filed under the name Marmota monax (woodchuck). Lineage: Eukaryota; Metazoa; Chordata; Mammalia; Rodentia; Sciuridae. The record is from RNAcentral.